RNAcentral lists this ribosomal RNA (254 nucleotides) under uncultured bacterium. Its description in RNAcentral is "partial 16S ribosomal RNA". It matches the Rfam family "Bacterial small subunit ribosomal RNA", at positions 524 to 776 of the family's 1533-position model. The record is from RNAcentral.
GACGAACCGUGCGAACGUUAUUCGGAAUCAUUGGGCUUAAAGGGCGCGUAGGCGGCGGUGUAAGUUGGAAGUGAAAUCCCAUCGGCUCAACCGUGGAAUUGCUCCCAGUACUGCAUCGCUCGAGGGGGAUAGGGGUUUGCGGAACUACCGGUGGAGCGGCGAAAUGUGUUGAUAUCGGUGGGAACGCCAGUGGCGAAAGCGGCAAACUUGACCCUUCCUGACGCUGAGGCGCGAAAGCUAGGGGAGCAAACGGG